Long non-coding RNA from Frieseomelitta varia, 1395 nucleotides. RefSeq lists it as uncharacterized. The record is from RefSeq and is a predicted model, not a curated record. The transcript has 2 exons. NCBI's taxonomy places the organism in Eukaryota, Metazoa, Arthropoda, Insecta, Hymenoptera, Apidae.
GCAGCACCGUGACCGACUAUUUAUAGAGGCCUACUCACGUCGAUCGUCGGCUGUGUGACAUUUGUGUGCUUGAAGCCUCGUAGCUCCGUGCACCGUGCAUUUAUUUUAAUACGCACUCAGUUGUACGAAGAUCGAACGGUGAAAAAGUAUCUAUCUAUUCAAGUUUGACGUGACGUCAAUUUACUUCGUCGUGUCGUGUUGUGUAUGUUGAGAUUCAAUUGUGGGACAGCAGUGGUUUGUCAUUAUACACUUGUGAAAGUUUCAAAGCUGCAAUUAGGAACAGCAGCAAUUCCCAAAUUACUUAAUUUCGAUCACUUGACUUUCAAUUUAGUCGACAUUUAUCAUUGAUUUACCUAACGCGGACAUCAUCUGGAGAGAAGAGGCGUGAAAGAGAGAGGUGUGUUGGCGAGGAUGAAGAACGAUGGUUAUGCGACGCUGCGAGACACAAGCGGAUCCUUUCAGAAGCGACAGUGUUUAUCGACGUAAUAUUUGCUCGGUGUGCCCGCUCGCGCGCCACAGACGAGGCGUACGGUGAAAUUUGUUUAAUUUGCCGCGCGUGUUAAUUUAAUAUAAUUUUUCGCGCAAACGUGGCGCAACAGCGCGCGAUCCGCUCGGAGGACGGGUUUGAAAAGGCUCCCUGUAUACACGUUUGAAAUACGUUUGCGAUGCACGCUUUCGUUUCGUAAUCGACGUGUUACAACGUGCACGCCUACUGUCCAUAGAAAAUUAAGAAAAAUUUCGUUAGGUUUCUCAACUUUAAGAAUGUUUUUCUUUAUUCCCUGCAGUGUGUUGGGUCCAAAAUCGAAACUAACGUCUGCUCAAUUGAGACUAAGCGAGAAAUAUACAGGGUGAUUCACGUAACUCGCAUACCACAACUAAAUUACGCGUACAAUGAAAAAUUGUUUAAUACAGAAGUUGUAUAGUUUUAAGGGAGGAAAAAUAGGGCGUAUCAAUUUUUUGUGUGUGUUAAGAGGUUUCGAAAUUUAUUUUUUUCUUUAAUUGGACCAUAUAUUUCUCUCAUCACAGACCGAAAGAAUAGAAUAUUGAAUUCCAACUAAAAAAGUGUCAAGUCACAUUUGUCCUAAACCUAAUGGUUAACGAGAUAUUUCACGAUAAUUUGUCUCGAGGAUGAAAACUGCAUUUGCUUGCAAUAAUUUAUAAAUUCCAUUUGUAUUUAUCGUUCAAGUAGAUCGUAAAUUUGUGUACGUGAACUUUUACACGAGGUCUCGUAACGAUCGAACGAAGUUUUUUUUUCAGCUGGUUUGAAGAUUUUUCUGAACUUUGUUAUUCCUGUUCUGGUAGUUUCGCGCGUCGCGUUUCUGCGGAAAUCAACAUUGUGCAUUGUAAGGUGUCUGUGUAAAGUUGUUUCUUUCAAAUAUAUACUUGUGGCAACAA